GCAUAACGCGAAGAACCUUACCCACCUUUGUACAUGUACGGAAUCCUUUAGUAGAUAGAGGAGUGCUCGAAGAGAGCCGUACACAGUGCUGCAUGGCUGUCGUCAGCUCGUGUCGUGAGAUGUUGGGUUAAGUCCCGCAACGAGCGCAACCCUUGCCAUUAGUUGCUACGAAAGGGCACUCUAAUGGGACUGCCGGUGACAAACCGGAGGAAGGUGGGGAUGGACGUCAAGUCCUCAUGGCCCUUAUAGGUGGGGCUACGACACGUCAUACAAUGGCUGGUACAAAGGGCUGCCCAACCCGCGAGGGGGAGCGUAAUCCCAUAAAGCCAGUCGUAGUCCGGAUCGCAGUCUGCAACUCGACUGCGUGAAGUCGGAAUCGCUAGUAAUCGUGGAUCAGAAUGUCACGGUGAAUACGUUCCCGGGUCUUGUACACACCG
This 437-nucleotide ribosomal RNA is filed under the name uncultured bacterium. RNAcentral describes it as "bacterial SSU rRNA". It matches the Rfam family "Bacterial small subunit ribosomal RNA", at positions 954 to 1392 of the family's 1533-position model. The record is from RNAcentral.